GCUCCAAGCCAGACUGGAUCAUGAAGGCGCAAAGGAGGAACAGGAGGCUUCAUUGCAUGGCGUGCUCUGCUAUAGGGCAAACAGCAGGGACUCGGCGGUAGCAACGGGAGCUCCAGAACCAUGGCAGGAAUGCCUCCACUGCACUUACAGGCAGAGAUCACCACGAACAAGACAAUCCCUGCCCUCAGACUUGCACUCCAAGGAGACAGCACAAAAUGAAAAUGGACUGGAAUGGAGGAAGGAAUUAGCAAACUCAGGGGCCUUUUUCUACAGCAGGGAAUGUGGAGAAGAUGGUGGCUGCAGAGCAGGAGGCCCUUUUCAUGUAUCUUGUGAGGGUGAAGCAAGAGAAAUGGAGGGUCUCUGCUUGGCAGGAGAGCAGACGUCACAGUCUCCAACUCCUGGCCAGGGGCCUUUUGAGAACAUUUUCUCCCUCUAGGGGAUGGGGUGGAUCAAAGGAUGGAGACUUCUGUUCAAAUGCAGGGGGACUGCUACUUGGAAAGAGGGGAAGAUUUCUAUUUUUUAAAAAGCUGAUUGCUUGAGGUUUGUGGGUGAAGCUUGUGAAAUGCUGUCCUAUACAACAAGGCCCUUCCUCCUCUUGAGAACAUUUGUAAUAUUAGAGGCCAAUCCUCUUUCUUUGUGAAAUGAAUGACUUGGGAAAGUCUGUUAAGUAUAGACAUUUGCAUGUCUAUAGAGCUGUGCAUGAGAUUAUCAUACUUUGGACACAUAAUGAGAAGACAUGAUUCAUUAGAAAAGACCGUAAUGCUGGGAAAAACAGAAGGGAGUAGAAAAAAGAAACAAGAGAUGGAUUGAUUCCGUAAAUGAAGCCACAGACCUGACCUUACAAGCCUGAACAGGGUGGUUCAUGACAGAUGCUAUUGGAGAAGGCUGAUUCAUAGGGCUGCCAUAAGUCGAAAUCAACUUGAAGGCACAUAACAGAGUUGUCCAUGUUGCCCCAGAAACAAAUAGCUAGAGAUACCUCCAGAAGGGAAGGUUUAAUUUGCAUUAAGCAGGAACUAUGAUUCCAUGACUCUAUGAUUCUAAGCAGUGAGGAGGCCUCCCCCACCACCACCUCACCUGGGUGGAGUGCUAUUGGUAGCAGAACAAUAGCCCUUUGAGUAGUCUCUCCUGUUGGAAGUUGGGAAGAAAUUGGGCAGCAGCAGAUUAAGUGAAAGAAUUUUGCACACUGCACAUCAUGUGGUAUAUUGGACACUAAUUUAGACGCCUUUUAAAAGAUAAUUAGACAAAGCGGGUUUUGAGGCCAAAAAGGCCAUUUUCUGUUUUUUAAGACUUCCCAGAUUCCCUCCCCUCUUAACGGUAUUCAAGCCAGGCUUUGCUGAGUUUCCUUGGAAUGUAAUAAGUCUUGCACCAGCACUAAGAAUCAUAGAAUAGUAGAGUUGGAAGGGGCCUACAAGGCCAUCAAGUCCAACCCCCUGCUCAAUGCAGGAAUCCAAAUCAAAGCAUUCCCGACAAAUGGCUGUCCAGCUGCCUCUUGAAUGCCUCCAGUGUCAGAGAGCCCACUACCUCUCUAGGUAAUUGUUUCCAUUGUCAUAUGGCUCUAACAGGAAGUUUUUUCUGAUGUCCAGUUGAAAUCUGGCUUCCUGCAACUUGAACCCAUUAUUCCGUGCCCUGCAGUCUGGGGCGAUCGAGAAGAGAUCCCUGUCCUCCUCUAUGUGACAACCUUUCAUGUACUUGAAGAGUGCUAUCAUAGCUCCCCUCAGUCUUCCUUUCUCCAGGCUAAACAUGCCCAGUUCUUUCAGUCUCUCCUCAUAGGGCUUUGUUUCCAGUCCCCUGAUCAUUCUUUUUGCCCUUCUCUGAACCUGAACUUUGAAGAGGCUGGGGGGAGAGGACUAUCCAUCAUUGCCCCCCCCCGGCAUUCCCCUUUUUGCUGCUGUUGGUUGUAAUGGUGCGCCUGGCUUGACCUGAGUUUUCCUGGUUCAUCUCAGUGGAGCAGAGUUAGUCUUGCCUGCCGUGAGGCAUCCUGGGAAGCAGACCCUUUGAGCCACAUCAUUUUUGGGAAUUCCCAAAAUACUCAGACUCCUUGGCUCCACAGCAGCAGCAGCAAAUGACUGAUGGGUGACAGACAAGGGAUAAGUUACUUGCUCCUUUGAGGAUGUAUCUCCUUCAAACAAACAGAGGUGUUCAUUAAAAUGUGUGACAUCCAUUGAAAUAGUAAAAUAUUGCCUGUUUUUCCAGAAGAAGGAAAGGUAUUUUCAUGUCCCACAAAUGAAAAAGGAUCAUCCAUCCAUCAAAACAGCAGAUCCAAAAAAAAUCCCUUUUCAAAGGAAUCCUUUCAAGUUAUCCCCACACCUGCACUUAUCAUAGAAUAGUAAAGUUGGGGGGGGUCUAGAAGGCCAUCAAGUCUAACCCUUUGUUCAAUGCAGGAAUCCAGCUUAAAGUAUACCUAACAGGUGGUGUUCAGAUGCCUCUUGAAUGCCUCCAGUGUUAAGAGCCCACCACCUCCCUAGGUCAUUGCUUCCAUUGGUUCCACUUUUCCCCCUCCUGGUUCACAUUGGAUCCAAUGGGAUCCCAUUUAAGGCAAAGCUGUGACCAGCUUCAGUGGCAAGAUUCGCUCUCAUGAAUCUCUUCAGCCUUUGCUCUCAAGCUCCGCUGGACCCAGGAUCAUAAAGACAGGUGUGAGUCCUAUUACCUGCUUCCCUAGUAAGGCAAAAUUCUCCACCCUGACUUGGUGAUUCCCACAGGCUACAAGAAAGGUACCUUUUACCCUCUUUCUCUCCCCCCCCCGCCUUCUCUAGCAUGAACCUGUGUAGACGUUCAGGGUAGGUAAGUACUCUGUUCUCCAUAGGACUGGGGGGGGGUGAAUGUCUGCCUGCAUAUGACAUAGUUAUACCUCUGUAGGAUAUGUCUAUGUUCUCUGUUCCAU
Molecule: long non-coding RNA, 2881 nt
Organism: Rhineura floridana
Lineage: Eukaryota; Metazoa; Chordata; Lepidosauria; Squamata; Rhineuridae
Exons: 3
Source: RefSeq, a predicted model, not a curated record